CUUGUUUAGGCCUUUACAUUUUUCUCUUGCAUGAGAACUCAAAACGAAAAUCAGCAUUAAGAAUCCUAACUUUAUUUCUUUUAGAUUCCAUUUUUCUUAAAAUAAAAUCUAACUGGAGCCUUUCCCACCUCAUUUUAUGGGAAAAUUCUUAAUGGCUGAUAAAGUGGAUGCAGUGAGCAACAAACCCAUCAACAAGAAGCUCAACAACCCCAGAAGAGUAAUGGGCCAGGCAAGAGGUGGGGGCAUACCUGCAAUUCCGUUAGGGGAGGGAGAUUUCUUUAUGUUUUCGGUGGAUAUGGCAAAGAUAAUUGCCAAACUAACCAAGUUCAUGUCUUUGACACCGCGAUGCAGACUUGGAGCCAGCCAGUGAUAAAAGGCACUCCGCCCACUCCAAGGGACAGCC
This 403-nucleotide unclassified non-coding RNA is filed under the name Hevea brasiliensis (rubber tree). Lineage: Eukaryota; Viridiplantae; Streptophyta; Magnoliopsida; Malpighiales; Euphorbiaceae. The record is from RNAcentral.